This is a long non-coding RNA of Dermochelys coriacea (leatherback sea turtle), 1836 nucleotides long. RefSeq lists it as uncharacterized. The record is from RefSeq and is a predicted model, not a curated record. The transcript has 3 exons. Lineage: Eukaryota; Metazoa; Chordata; Testudines; Dermochelyidae.
GCUCUAAUAAAUUUGUUAGCCUCUAAGGUGCCACAAGUACUCUUCUUUUUGCGAAUACAGACUAACACGGCUGCUACUCUGAAACCUUAGUUUGCAUUGUGUUGCUUUCUUUUCCUUUGUAUUGUCAUUUUAUGCUGUGCAGAGUAGGUAGCUCACGAAAGCUUAUGCUCUAAUAAAUUUGUUAGUCUCUAAGGUGCCACGGGUACUCCUUUUCUUUUUAGUAUAACAGGACUAACCCUUCCCUGUGUCUACUGGAAAUACCUUGCCUGAUGCAUCCUAGUACUGCAUUAACCUAUUUCACGGUCGCAGCACUUUGGCAGCUCAUAAUUAUUCUGUGAUCAACCAAUACACUUAGGUCUUUUUCCUCCUCUGUGACUUCCAACUGAUAAUUCCUCAGUUUAUUGCAAAAAUUCUUGUUUUUCAUCCCCAAAUGCAUAACUUUGCACAAUUAAUUUUCAUCCCAUUUCUAUUACUCCAGCUUUCAAGGUUAUGCAGAUCUUCUAGGAUGAUAUUCCUAUCCUCCUCCUUGUUGGCAAUCCUUCCCAGCUUUGUGUCACACUCCCACUUUUUGUGCCAGGGUCACGAAUAAAAAUAUUGAAUAAGAUCGGUCACAAGACUGAUCUCCGAGGAACUCCGCUAAUAGUCUUCCUCCAGCCUGUCAACUCACCAUUCAGUAUGACCCCUUGUAGUCUCCCCUGCAACCAAUUCCUUAUCGACCUUUCAGUUCUCAUAUUAAUCCCCAUUUUCUUCAAUGUAACAAAUAGUUUCCCAUGUGGAACUGUAUCAAAUGCCUUACUGACAUCCAGAUAGAUGAGAGCUACUGCAUUUCCUUUGUCCAAAACAUUAGUUAUCUUCUCACAGAAGGAGAUCAGGUUUCUCUGGCACGAUCUACCUUUUGUAUUUAUUAAUAGUGCUGAAGGCUAAAAGGAACUGUUAGCAGUAGGCUGAGAAUGGCCAUGUGGAGGUGGGGGAAGGGAUGGCAGACCGUGUGGAGGUGGGGGAGGGGAUGUGAUGUUGGAGGGAUAUCUGGGACUGUGUUUUGUAGGAGUCCAUGUCUCUGCUCCCGGUGGCUGUGGUGCCUUCCGUACCAAAGCAGCAUGUCAGCAGAGCAGACGCGCACACACCAUAGCUCCAUCUGGAACAUGCCGCAUUCACUGCCAGACGGGAUGGGUGAUUUUUCAGGGGCCCAGCUUGAUAUGCCUGGCUGGGGUGGAUUCACUUGGACAGGAGUCUGGGGCUCUGAUAGUUGGGGAUGUUCCUUUUUUUGCAUAGUCAGUUCUUUCCCUUUAUUGUUUUACCCCCACCUAUGCUUGAUGUCACUCUCUUAACUUGCUUUGGUUAUUUCAGUUCCAUUUUUAAAUGGGAUCUAAUAAUUGCAAAGCUGAACGAAAGAUAAACCAAACAGAACCAUUUGAAUUUUGGCACACAGCUGGUAGGAGUAUACCCAGUGAAGGUAUGCUGUAAGUACCUGGCUACCUGUAGCAUUUUCUGGUGGGGUGGAUAAAGGAAUGUCAGAGCCAAAAGCGCUUUUUAGGGUGAAAGGGUUCAUCAGGUGUUUGCCCUCUAGGGAGCAUAUCACCAGCCAGGGGUUGCAGUCUUUCAGGAGUAGUGCGCUGGAUUUUAUUUAAUAAUCUUAAAAUAAAAGGUUAAAAUGGCUAGUUCACAAUAGGCAAUGAAAUCUUGCAAACAAUUAUACAAAUAGACCCUAAUGCUAUUAAAACAGCAUGGAAUUAAUACUAAUUCUAAACUAAAAGAAAAGGAGGACUUGUGGCACCUUAGAGACUAACAAAUUUAUUUGAACAUAAGCUUUCUUGAGCUACAGCUCACUUCUUCGGA